AUUGAACGCUGGCGGAAUGCUUUACACAUGCAAGUCGAACGGCAGCACGGGAGCUUGCUCCUGUUGGCGAGUGGCGAACGGGUGAGUAACAUAUCGGAACGUACCCAUUCGUGGGGGAUAACUAUCCGAAAGGAUAGCUAAUACCGCAUACGUCCUGUGUGAGAAAGCGGGGGAUCGCAAUACCUCGCGCUUUUGUAUCGGCCGAUAUCGGAUUAGCUAGUUGGUGGGGUAAAGGCUCACCAAGGCGACGAUCCGUAGCGGGUCUGAGAGGACGACCCGCCACACUGGAACUGAGACACGGUCCAGACUCCUACGGGAGGCAGCAGUGGGGAAUGUUGGACAAUGGGGGCAAACAUGAUCCAGCCAUUCCGCGUGAGUGAAGAAGGCCUUCGGGUUGUAAAGCUCUUUCAGCAGGAACGAAACGGUCGGAUUUAAUAAAAUCGGCUAAUGACGGUACCUGCAGAAGAAGCACCGGCUAACUACGUG
Molecule: ribosomal RNA, 486 nt
Filed under: uncultured bacterium
Lineage: Bacteria
Description: partial 16S ribosomal RNA
Rfam family: Bacterial small subunit ribosomal RNA
Source: RNAcentral